UCCGGAUGGACGCCGAAUCCUGCCGCCGUCCGGUUUCCACACACUCACCCGUGAAACGGCAGGAGCGGGGGAUCCACAGGCAGUACGCCGUUUCCCCGGUUCAAGGGGACGGCUCGGGGUGAAGCCGCGCGAGCGCGGCGGGGCAUCUCCAGCCCUAACCCGACAGCUCACCUCGCAGGCGCCGGAGAGGAAUC
Molecule: small RNA, 194 nt
Filed under: Streptomyces albus
Lineage: Bacteria; Bacillati; Actinomycetota; Actinomycetes; Kitasatosporales; Streptomycetaceae
Description: c-di-AMP sequence
Rfam family: c-di-AMP riboswitch aptamer (ydaO/yuaA leader)
About the family: This family represents a conserved RNA structure found upstream of the ydaO and yuaA genes in Bacillus subtilis and related genes in other bacteria. The ydaO/yuaA element is thought to act as a genetic "off" switch for the ydaO and yuaA genes in its native state. It is believed that the element may be triggered during osmotic shock leading to activation of ydaO, a predicted amino acid transporter gene, and members of the yuaA-yubG operon which code for KtrA and KtrB K+ transporters.
Source: RNAcentral